AUGGAAAAGAGACAAAAACAUAUCGAAAGAGAAGAGAGACAGAAAGACAUUGAAAGAGAGAAUGAAGAAGAAAGAUGUAAACAGAAGCAAAUAGAGAUGGAAGAGGAAGAAAGAGAAGAAGAGAGACAGAGAGCGAUCGAAGAGAAAGAAAGACGACAGCAACAAGAGGAGAUAAAGAUAAUGUUUGAGAGAGAUCAAGAAGAAGAAAAUAUAUGGAAACAGAAGCAAAUUGACAUGGAGAAGGAGGGAAGAGAGGGGGAGAACAAGAGACAGAGAGAGAUAGAAGAGAUACACAGACGACAACAACAAGAGGAGAGACAGAAACAAAUGGAGAAGGAGAAAGAAAGGGAGAAAGACAAUGACAAUCAGAGAGAGAUGGAAUUAAAAGAUCAGCAACAGAAAGAGAUGGAGAAAGAAAAGAUGAUUAUGAGAGAAAGGGAGGAAGCAGGAAGAAGAAAGGAGGGGCAGAAAAAUAUUUUGGGGGAAAUUGAGGGACAGAAUGAACUGGAGAUAGAACAGGAGAGAGAGAUGGAAGAAAAGCAGGCAGUGAUUAAGGAAGCAGAGGAAGAGUACAGGGAAAGAGAAGAGAGAGGAAAGGAAGUAAGCAUGAAGAAACAUGUAGUAGUUAAUGUUAAAGCAAAAGCACGGGAAGUCUUCAAUAGGCGUAAAGAGAGGAGGUUAGAAGUGUUGAAGGGGGAACGAGAACACAUAGAAAGAGGACAACAAAUCAGGAGGGAGAAGGAGGAAAGACAGCUGGAGAUGGAAAGAAAACAGGAGAGGGCAAGACAACAAGAGGAGCAGGAUAAAAAACAAGAGAUUGAAAUUGCUAGACAGAAAGAAAUGUUGAGACUAAGAGAGGAGGAGAGGCAGAGAGAGGAAGAGAGAGAGGAACAGAGAAAGAGAGCCAUUGAAGGCCAUUUAGCUUUAAUCAGAGAGAGAGAGAAGAUUUUAGAGGUAAAGAAAAAAGAGGAGAUGGGGGGGCCAGACAGCCAGCAGCUAGAAGCUCCAGAAGAGGCUGAAACAUCAGAGCCAACCUCCAAGAACAAGAAAAAGCCAAGCAUCUGGAAGAGAAUUAAGAUGAGCCUUCCUGACGUGCUGUCUGCCUAGAGCUGGAACUCGAUGAAGCCACAGUUCCACUGAGGUUACGUUGGUAAUUAAAAGUGUCGCCCAAUAAUUCCUCCUCCUCUUUAAGUCAUCGAGCCACAUUUCCUCCUCAAAACAUUAUAGUCUCCUCAAGCCAGCAAGUAUCCUCUUUAUCAGGCAACAAACCAUCUAAGAUCAGUGACCCUCCUCCCCAGAGCAGAGACUCUCAUCUGUAUCCUAGUUAAAUUCAUCUCUGCUUACCACCUCUACAGUCCUAGAAAAUAUCCCAAAAAUGGAAAUGGUUUCAACAGAAGUCCUCCCCUCAGACCAGUGGCUCCACAGACCAGAGUUUCUCAUCUUUAUUCAAGUUGAAUGCAACUCUGAUCAUUUCCACCACCUCUCCUGUUAAGGGGAGGUGCUGAAAAGGAGGUCUGGGAGGAGGUCUGCAGGUAGCCUGGACCGGACCGGUAGCAGCUAAGUUGCUGGCUCCAUCCCCGGGUAGAGCUGCUCAAGUCAGGCCAGUGAUGUUUGAUGAUGUCAUUUUUGUUAGCAAAGUUUUACUCUUUAAUAAAAGCAUUUAGUAAAAAAGCAAUAUUGUUGUUACGGUGUGGAUUGUUUUGUUAUUUAUUAGAAUUGAAACAUCCAGUAGUCAUGGUAGAUGUUAGACUUUCAAUGAGACACCUAACAUUCCAUCAGUUUGAUCCAAUGUGUGACAUGUUAUAUUAUAUUAGUCCUCUAUACACAUCUAUUUUAGACCAUAGGAGAAAUAUCAGAUUGAAAUAGCUUCUCUAAGAAUCUGAGGAGAGAGCAACAGUAGAUGCAUCGUUAGCUCUCCCACCUCCAGUUCAGUACUCGGGUCAUUCCACCAAUUGAGUACCUUUUGGGGAGUGUAACUUUUAUUUCACCUAAUUCUAAUAUUUUGUCAUAAAUAGCACAUGUUCAACUUAAUAAAAAACAUGUUUUCCCAUCUCAAAAGUAACAAAUACAUACUAUAGUAAGUGCCUAUUAAGUGCCAAAUAAAGUGACAGGGUUGACUGUAACAGAGUUGACUAUUUCAUCUAGAAUCAACCAUAGAUCCCCAUGUGACAGGGGGAAUGGAAUGCAAGCUUACCAAACACAUGUAAAUAGUUUAAACAUUUCUAGACUGUCUAUCUAUAGGUAACAGGGUUGGUGUGUUAUAAUUCACCCACCCAGUGGUGAUUGCAGCAUGUACAUCUUGGUGGGGAAAACUCCCCCAAAAUGUUUUAGAUGAAUGCCAGCAAAGCCACUACACAACACAACACUAAACAAUACAUUAAUUGCAAUAUAACUUUAACAAACGGUGCCCACAAACUGUUAGGGUCGACAUAAAGCUGAUGGACGUAGUCAAUAUAACCAUUUGUAUAGCACUUUUGAAGUGAACAUGGGCCAUUCUUACAGUAUUCUCCCUGUACACCAAGUCAUAACUGCAUAUAAGCAGACAAUGAAAGCACUUACAAAAUUUGAUGAUUACAUUUCUCUAAAAUGGGCUGUAGUCUACAUGUGCAUCAUCAAGUCAGAGCAGUAGGCUAAGUUAUGAGAGGGGAAAGUGACAACAUUAUUAGGGUGAGGCACAUGGGCUCCUAACAGCUUACUACACAACAUACACUUAGUAUUACUUUCUUAUCUACAGUAUACACAUCUCCCUGGCAUAUUACAUCAUUUAUAGAGCAGCAGUCAAUACAUUGUUGGACUCACCUUGUUGUGCUCACUUGAACAGGAAGGUGUAGCGGCGGUUUGGCAUCAAAGUCUGUCAUUCUCUGGAUUUAUGGUUCUUUCAAGACAACUGGGAACUCGGGAAAAAACAAGGUUGAAUCUUGACAUCAGUGAUCUUCAGGUCAGAGUAGAAGAAAGAGGCCCGAGUUCCUGACUUGGAUUUCUGAGUUUGAUGGCCGUUCAAAACCUGUUUUCCCAGUCAGAGUUCCCAGUUGUCUUGAACUCACUGAAGUCUAAGAGUUCCCAGUCAGAGUUCACAGUUGUCUUGAACUCACUGAAGUCUAAGAUGUCCCAGUUCCGAGUUUCCAGUUGUUUUGAAUGCGGCAGUAGUGAUGUUGAAUAGCAGGCUAGUGAUUGCUUUGUUAAGCUUGCAGUUAGCCACUGAUUCCUUCCAAACCACUCAUUGUUGAAUUUACGAUUUCCAACUUUUUGUGUUUAUUUGGAAAGGUUGAUGACCACCGAUACUUUUUAUCUAUAAUUUCUCUUCAUAUGACAAGGAUUGAAAAGGAUUUGCCAGUAGAUUGUUGACUGGAUGCAUGAUGAUGACUGCUAGCUUGGUAGCUUUGAUUUUGAAAAUAUGAUGUUGAACCAAUCACGGCGCAACCAGAGAACAUAACCAACCCCUUAAAUAAGGUAUUUAAGUUCUGUAUUUUUAAUAGAUUUGCAAAAAUGUCUAAAUAUAUAUUUUCACUUUAACAUUGUGUGUAGAUUAUAGAAGAUUUUUUAUUUAUUUAUUUAAACCAUUUUAGAGUAAGUCUGUAACGUUACUAAGUGUGGAAAAAGGUCAAGGGGUCUGAAUACUUUCAGAAGGCACUGUGCAUAUGAUGGGCAUGAUGUUUUCACGACAACUGAGAACUACAAAAUAAAAAAUAAAAAAAGUAAAAUCAUGACGUCAGUCAUCUUCUGGUCGGAAAGUUCGGAACUCCAGAAAGAUACUCAAGUGACCGACUUGGAAUUCUGAGUUGGAUGACCUUUCAAAAGAUUUUUAUCAGUCGGGUCUCGUUUUUUCCCAAGUUACCAGUUGUUAAGAAUGCACUUGAGUCGGAGACUUCAGACCUCCGAGUUGCUAUCUCUAGUCCUGUAGGCUCAAAGGAGGGAGGGAGAGAAUGUAACCGAUGUGAAAUGGCUAGCUAGUUAGUGGUGGUGCGCGCUAAUAGCGUUUCAAUCGGGUGACGUCACUCGCUCUGAGACCUGAAGUAGUUCCCCUUGCUCUGCAAGGGCCGUGGCUUUUGUGGCGCGAUUGGUAAUGAUGCUUCGUGGGUGACUGUUGAUGUGUGCAGAGGGUCCCUGGUUCGAGCCUGGGUAGGGGCGAGGGGAUGGACUAAGGUUAUACUGUUACAAGAGCAUGAGAGGGUUCACCUUCCACGCCCCCUGCUCUCUCUCCCUCCAGUGAGACUGACUAGAGACACCUGAUGGUGAAACUCGAAUCACACUGCAUAUCUGCCUCAUGCACAAAUGCAUGUUCUGCUUGUGACCAGAGAAAGCUAAAUAUUCCUUUCUGAUGGGCCAGUGAAGGUAGGAAACAUCUCCUCCACCCCGCUGAUCCUCAACACUGGGGCCCCACAAGGGUGCGUGCUCAGCCCACUCCUGUUCUCACUGUUCACCCAUGACUGCGUGGACAUGCACGCCUCCAACUCAAUCAUCAAGUUUGCAUAUGACACAACAGUGGUAGGCUUGAUUACCAACAACGAUGAGACAGCCUACAGGGACGAGGUGAGGGCUCUGGGAGUGUGGUGCCAGGACAAUAAUCUCUCACUCAACGUCAACAAAGGAGAUGAUCAUGGACUUCAGGAAAGAGCAGAGGGAGCACCCUCCUAUUCACAUCGACGGGACAGCUGUGGAGAAGGUGGAAAGUUUUAAGUUCCUCAGCGUACACAUCACUGACCAAACUGAAAUGGUCCACAGACAGUGUGGUGAAGAAGGCUGAAAAAAUUUGGCUUGUCACCUAAAACCUGUCGGGCUGUAUCCUGUCGUGCUGUAUCGCCGCCUGGUACGGAAACUGCACCGCCCACAACCGCAGGGCUCUCCAGAGGGUGGUGCGGUCUGCACAAAGCAUCACCGGGGGCAAACUACCUGCCCUCCAGGACACCUACACCACCCGAUGACACGGGAAGGCCAAAAAGAUCAUCAAAGACAGCAACCACCCGAGCCACUGCCUGUUCACCCCGCUAGUAUCCAGAAGGGGAGGUCAGUACAGCUGCAUCAAAGCUGGGACCGAGAGACUGAAAAAGACUGAAAAACAGCUUCUAUCUCAAGGCCAUCAGACUGUUAAAUAGCCAUAACUGACGCAGAGAGGCUGCUUGAGGCACAGAC
Molecule: long non-coding RNA, 5130 nt
Filed under: Oncorhynchus kisutch (coho salmon)
Lineage: Eukaryota; Metazoa; Chordata; Actinopteri; Salmoniformes; Salmonidae
Description: lncRNA (ENSOKIG00005005752.1)
Source: RNAcentral